UGCCCCUGUUAACGCGCGCGCAUGUGUAGAUGGGAAUUUGAGCACCAGUAAUGACAAAGCAAAUUCCAAUUCAGUAUCAAAGGACCAGCACACACCAUAUCCACCUCAGGGUCACAGAAAAGGAUCUUAUGAGCUAGAUAGCCAUCUGUGAAACUGCUGUACUCUUUUUGAAAUAUUUGCCUGGUCAUGGCAUGAACUGCUCUGUUGCAAAGUUUUCCUUCUCCUUUUGGUUUGGAACAAAAAAUCUUCCGUAUCUAAAACGUAGGAUACUUUGGAGGAAUUGCAUGCAAU
Molecule: unclassified non-coding RNA, 291 nt
Filed under: Hevea brasiliensis (rubber tree)
Lineage: Eukaryota; Viridiplantae; Streptophyta; Magnoliopsida; Malpighiales; Euphorbiaceae
Source: RNAcentral